Non-coding RNA from Acanthosepion pharaonis, 111 nucleotides. The record is from the annotation of a GenBank genome assembly. NCBI's taxonomy places the organism in Eukaryota, Metazoa, Mollusca, Cephalopoda, Sepiida, Sepiidae.
AUGGCCAUAUCACAUAAAAACACUGGUUCUCAUACAAUCACUGAAGUUAAGAUAUAUUGAGCUUUGUCAGUACCUAGAUGGGUGACCACUUGGGAAUAUGAAGUACUGCAA